RNAcentral lists this ribosomal RNA (238 nucleotides) under uncultured bacterium. RNAcentral describes it as "partial 16S ribosomal RNA". It matches the Rfam family "Bacterial small subunit ribosomal RNA", at positions 96 to 334 of the family's 1533-position model. The record is from RNAcentral.
CGGCGGACGGGUGAGUAACGCGUGGGUAACCUGCCUCAUACAGGGGGAUAACAGUUAGAAAUGACUGCUAAUACCGCAUAAGACCACAGCACCGCAUGGUGCGGGGGUAAAAACUCCGGUGGUAUGAGAUGGACCCGCGUCUGAUUAGCUGGUUGGUGGGGUAACGGCCUACCAAGGCGACGAUCAGUAGCCGACCUGAGAGGGUGACCGGCCACAUUGGGACUGAGACACGGCCCAA